ACAAAUAUCAUAUUUGUAACUUAGUUACAAAGUUACAAGUUACAUUUAUUGAUUGCAAUUAAGAACGCAUACAAUUCGAAUGGGCCGAAUGGUAAUGAAACUUGCUGCAAAAUUAUUGGCAAAAUUAAUAACUAUUUACUAGAUGUAUCUGCAUGCAUCGUAAAAUUCCAUCAAAACGAGGGCAUUACGUCCGAGGGCAUUACGCCAUUAUCUGACUAAAAUCCCGACUUUCGAGGUAUUUAUCAUAUUUAAUUCUUGAUUGAGGAGGUUUUCCAUUAAAGUUUUGAAUGUUUUGUCUGUUACCUAGGAAAGAAAACCGACAACCGACUCAAUCAAGAAUUAAAUAAUGAGUUAAAGAAAAAAAUUAAAGAAAAGAAAUUAAAAUAAAAUAAAAAUAAAGCACAACAGACACUAAUAAUAAAGCACGCAAAUAAUAAUAAAGCACAACAGACACUUGCCGAAUUUGCUUGAGUGCACACGAAACAAUAUAGGUUGAAAUAGAGGCAGACAUCCAAUUUAUAUUUAAUAAUAUUAAUAUUAUAGUACAUUACUCAUUAGAUAGAGUUUUCAUUGUCAACCAGUAAUUUGGGAAGUGUUUAUAGCCUGUAUAGGAACGAACUAGCAAAGUAAUGUAAAAAUAACAUACUGUGCAUCUCCCAAGACAAAAUAAAAUUAUGUACAAUUUUAUUAAAAAUGUUAAACAAAUAAAUUUUCAUUUUAGCUUUGACGAAGAUCAGAUCUUACAGAGUCACACACAAAGAAAAACACUUCUUUUUUAACAAACAUUUUGUAUAUAUGCACGCAUGCAAUGCUUAGAUCUGUAUGACUCGAUAGAAACUCAAUAUAAGGUCUGUCAUAAAAAGGAGACCUUUAGAAAUUAAUCUAUUGUUGUUAAGC
This is a non-coding RNA of Paramuricea clavata, 897 nucleotides long. The record is from the annotation of a GenBank genome assembly. Lineage: Eukaryota; Metazoa; Cnidaria; Anthozoa; Malacalcyonacea; Plexauridae.